UCCUACGGGAGGCAGCAGUGGGGAAUUUUGGACAAUGGGCGAAAGCCUGAUCCAGCAAUGCCGCGUGUGUGAAGAAGGCCUUCGGGUUGUAAAGCACUUUUGUCCGGAAAGAAAUGGCCCUGGUUAAUACCUGGGGUCGAUGACGGUACCGGAAGAAUAAGGACCGGCUAACUACGUGCCAGCAGCCGCGGUAAUACGUAGGGUCCAAGCGUUAAUCGGAAUUACUGGGCGUAAAGCGUGCGCAGGCGGUUGUGCAAGACCGAUGUGAAAUCCCCGAGCUUAACUUGGGAAUUGCAUUGGUGACUGCACGGCUAGAGUGUGUCAGAGGGGGGUAGAAUUCCACGUGUAGCAGUGAAAUGCGUAGAGAUGUGGAGGAAUACCGAUGGCGAAGGCAGCCCCCUGGGAUAACACUGACGCUCAUGCACGAAAGCGUGGGGAGCAAACAGGAUUAGAUACCCUGGUAGUCCACGCCCUAAACGAUGUCAACUAGUUGUUGGGGAUUCAUUUCCUUAGUAACGUAGCUAACGCGUGAAGUUGACCGCCUGGGGAGUACGGUCGCAAGAUUAAAACUCAAAGGAAUUGACGG
This 586-nucleotide ribosomal RNA is filed under the name uncultured Ralstonia sp. Its description in RNAcentral is "bacterial SSU rRNA". It matches the Rfam family "Bacterial small subunit ribosomal RNA", at positions 337 to 916 of the family's 1533-position model. Lineage: Bacteria; Pseudomonadati; Pseudomonadota; Betaproteobacteria; Burkholderiales; Burkholderiaceae. The record is from RNAcentral.